This 253-nucleotide ribosomal RNA is filed under the name uncultured bacterium. Its description in RNAcentral is "partial 16S ribosomal RNA". It matches the Rfam family "Bacterial small subunit ribosomal RNA", at positions 524 to 776 of the family's 1533-position model. The record is from RNAcentral.
GACGAACCGGACAAACGUUAUUCGGAAUCACUGGGCUUAAAGGGUGCGUAGGCGGCGCGGCAAGUUGGGUGUGAAAUCCCUCGGCUCAACCGAGGAAUAGCGCCCAAAACUGCCGUGCUCGAGGGAGACAGAGGUGAGUGGAACUUAGGGUGGAGCGGUGAAAUGCGUUGAUAUCCUAAGGAACUCCGGUGGCGAAAGCGACUCACUGGGUCUCUUCUGACGCUGAGGCACGAAAGCUAGGGGAGCGAACGGG